RNAcentral lists this long non-coding RNA (298 nucleotides) under Elaeis guineensis (African oil palm). RNAcentral describes it as "long non-coding RNA (EGUI_LNC071039)". The record is from RNAcentral. Lineage: Eukaryota; Viridiplantae; Streptophyta; Magnoliopsida; Arecales; Arecaceae.
GGCUCGACUGCUAUUCUUUUUCUGCACACUUCCUCCUCUAACCUACGAACAGACUUUUUUCUCUAUGGUAGCUUCAAUUUGGGAGCCAUUUCAGACAAGAGAGAUUUGCAAACAGCUUAGGAGACUUAAUGAGAGGAGAGUGGAAAGGAUUUUAGGAGAAAAAUAAAGAUUUUGGAGAGAUAGACCGUUGAUUUGGAGAAGAGGGUUUGAAGCUAGAGGGUAAGUUUGAUCCACCCAAAUGGGGAAGAAAAAGAAAGGGGAUUUAGUUCCUAAAAGGGCGAUUUGAAGAGGGAAACAU